GACAGUAGACACUAGUUAGUAUCAAUUUGCUUCCCACAAACAAAUCAUCAAGCAGAAGUGUGAAAAUUUACGAGGAUGCUGUAAAUUUUCAUCCAACCAGUAGCAAGUUGCAAGAGAACAUAUACGACGUCGGAUCCUUCUGCAGAUGCCAUAAUAAAACAAACAUCAAUCGAGAGACUCACCCUUCUGGUGUAAAGUGUAAACAAUCGUGACAAUCCACACCGUCGUCGGCUCCCCUCUCUUUGCUCUCUCUCGUCUCUUGCCCGCCAGGUUUAGGCUCCAUUUGGUACAGCUUAUUAAAUAGAGCUUAUAACAAUAGAGCUUAUAGCAGUAGAGUUUAUACCAAUAAAAUUUUUGGAUAAAAAGUCAUUGGGUAUUUAAUUGUUAAUAAAAAAAAUAUUUUUAAAUCAUUAAACUGUAUGAUAUUUUUUUUAUUAUAUAUUUUUUAGAUAAGCUCUUUAACUUUUACUUCCAAAAGUUCAAAUUUUGAGCUUUUACUAGUAGAGGUAAAUUAGUUUAUUUAAGCUAAAAAAACUCUACUAAAAAAAUAACCAAACAUCAUAAAAUUUUUUAAAAAGUACUUAUGCGAUUAAAUAAGCACUUAUGACUCUUAAAUAAGCCAUACCAAACAGUCACUUAAUAUAUUUUGUCUAUCUUUUUUUACUAUUUCACGAGGGGAAGAGAGGGCUGGAAUGUUUGGGCCGUAACGACCAAUGGGCCUUUGGCCCAAUAACGUAAUUCGUGAAAACCAGUUGAAAAAUAUAAUGAAAUAGAGGAGAAAAUAAUAAUUGAAUUACUACUACCGAUCCUUUCAUUAUUUGAUACUCAAACGUAACGUAUACAAUAGAGAGAGAUCCAAAAUGGGAAAAAGUUACAAUACAUACACGAACACUAGCUACUAGCAAAUUUUAUAUGUUGUGUUUUCAAUUUUGUGAGAUGUCUCAUCUCCAAAAGAAAUGCUGGACAGAAUCUUGCCAGGAAAGCACAAGCAUGAGCAUGACCAAAAUCCCAGCGAGUCCCCAUGACGAAGCCCCAAUUCUGAGCACCCAAGAAGGAUCGGGAGAUGGAAAAACUGAUCCUCUCUCCAUUGAAGAAGAAGAAGUAGUAGUUUUGAUGGCAAUUAUAAGGACAGCUAGAACCAUGGGAAGAACAAAGCUAGAGUUCCAAUAUUUUGUCUCAUUAUGAAAUAUUGUAUGGUGGUGAUAACGAUGAUCGUUUUUUAUUGUCACAUAGAGUGGCGACAAAACUAUAGCUGAUACCAAAGCCAACCCCAUGGCGACUGCUCUUUGUGAUGAUGAGUUUUGGCCUGCGUAGUUGUAUGCAUUAGCAGCCAUUGAAAGAAGUGAAUUAAUUAAAUUAACUCUCUCAAUCCUGCAGGACUACUAUAUAUAAGAAAACCAACUUGGUGAUGUGGAGAAAAUUGAUGGGGAGUUUUAUAGGAGGAAGAAGAGAGAACAAGUGAAGGAAUCUAGUUGUAAAGCUUGUGAUUUGAUGACAAAAGUGAUGGAGUCAUCAUAGACAUAGCCGUCCAAAAAGUGAAAAAAGGAGAUGAGUUAUUUGGAGAAAAAGGCAAGAGAAAGGUGAGAAAGCAUAGGUAAAUGAAGAAAAAGGAUUGGAAUUCUUUGGAAGUAAGGUAUCUUUAAUUUGGUGUGUUCAUACAUGUCUACAAGGCACUGCUAGCUGGAAUCACUUUUGUGAGAUACAUACAUACAUACAUACAUACAUACAUAUACUGCCUCAUUGCGUGGCCUGUGUCUUAUUGUGCUUGGAAGUAUAUGUUUAUAAAUGCAUGUUGGUUUGUUCGCAAAACAAAUGUAUAUUAGUGUAUUAUUAUUAUUAUUAUUAUUAUCCGUAUGAUAUACACAAGAAAGUAAGUGAAAAAUACGCAUUAUAGCUUAUAUCCGUUUAAGUUUUGGUAUGCAUAUUUAUAUAUACAUAUACUUACGCCUAAUACAUGAGAGCUCAUUUAUACAAUUCGUGUACUGUAUUAUCACAAAGAGAGUCUUCCAUGCUCCUUGGAGCACCAUAUAAGUCACUAACAAAAGGAGUUUCAUUUUUCCAUUCUUUCUUCACCAAUGGUUUCUCUCUCAUUCCAACUUAAAUUGUCACCAAAAUCAUGUGCUGGCAGCAAGAAAAAUAAUUUCAUUUUUUUUUUUUGGCAGAGGGAGAAAUGAAACAUUUGGGUUCCCUUAUAAAUUGUUUCUACUACUUGAGUGAGUCUCUCAUAUUAUGUUUAAUAUCUCAUUUAAUACUUAAUCUUUUGUUAAUUAUUUGUCUAACAUUUUUUUCUUUUUUUUAACAAACUUGAUCUCACUCUCUCUAAAAUCAAAUAUACUUUCCGAGAAUAUACAACUAACUAUACCUACCUUAAAAGCUCAUGACCUAAUCUCUUUUUGAGUAAAUUUUAUUAACGUGAUUAAUAGUUAAUAAAUUAAAAAGUAAAAAUAAUUACAUUUUAUUAUAUAUUAACAUUAAAAUACAUGUGUCACAAAAUUUAUAAAAAAUCAGGAGAGUUUAAAUUAGGAGAGAAUCCUAAUUUAAAAAAUAAAAAAAAACAUGUCACGGUUGUAAUAAUGAUUAAUUGACUAUUAAUUGAUCAGCUUAUUUUGCUGACCCCUCUUGACAUUUUAAUGGAUAUUAAAUUGUUAAUUUGUUAUUAUUUUGUUUUUGGCAGUUUCUAAAGACGUACAGGAACCUGCAUAAUGCAUAAGGAUGGCAAUGGGGAGGGGAGGGGAGGGGACCAAUCUCCCCGAUAUUUUGCAUAUGUCCCCGUCCCCUCCCCAUCCCCGUCAAAAUUAUUUAAGAGAAUCCUCAUCCCCUCCCCGAAUAAUAACAGGGGAUCCCUGAGGGUCCCCGAUCCCCGAAUAACUAAUACAUUUUUUUUAUUUUCGAUUUUGAGUUAAUCAUAUUAAAAUAAAAAAUACAAACAUCAAUCGAGAGACUCACCCUUCUGGUGUAAAGUGUAAACAAUCGUGACAAUCCACACCGUCGUCGGCUCCCCUCUCU
RNAcentral lists this long non-coding RNA (3006 nucleotides) under Citrus sinensis (sweet orange). RNAcentral describes it as "long non-coding RNA (CSIN_LNC000338)". Lineage: Eukaryota; Viridiplantae; Streptophyta; Magnoliopsida; Sapindales; Rutaceae. The record is from RNAcentral.